RNAcentral lists this transfer RNA (72 nucleotides) under Armillaria ostoyae. The stretch from base 7 to 67 matches the Rfam family "tRNA", at positions 6 to 65 of the family's 71-position model. Rfam says of the family: Transfer RNA (tRNA) molecules are approximately 80 nucleotides in length. The record is from RNAcentral. Lineage: Eukaryota; Fungi; Basidiomycota; Agaricomycetes; Agaricales; Physalacriaceae.
GCAUUUGGUAGUACACGGGUUAGUACAUGAGCUUGAAGCGUUCGAAAUCUGGGUUCGACUCCCAGCCUGGCC